GACGAACGCUGGCGGCGUGCCUAAUACAUGCAAGUCGAACGCUUCUUUCCUUCCGAGUGCUUGCACUCAAUUGGAAAGAGGAGUGGCGGACGGGUGAGUAACACGUGGGUAACCUACCCAUCAGAGGGGGAUAACACUUGGAAACAGGUGCUAAUACCGCAUAACAGUUUAUGCCGCAUGGCAUAAGAGUGAAAGGCGCUUUCGGGUGUCGCUGAUGGAUGGACCCGCGGUGCAUUAGCUAGUUGGUGAGGUAACGGCUCAUCAAGGCCACGAUGCAUAGCCGACCUGAGAGGGUGAUCGGCCACACCGGGACUGAGACACGGCCCAGACUCCUACGGGAGGCAGCAGUAGGGAAUCUUCGGCAAUGGACGAAAGUCUGACCGAGCAACGCCGCGUGAGUGAAGAAGGUUUUCGGAUCGUAAAACUCUGUUGUUAGAGAAGAACAAGGACGUUAGUAACUGAACGUCCCCUGACGGUAUCUAACCAGAAAGCCACGGCUAACUACGUG
This 508-nucleotide ribosomal RNA is filed under the name uncultured bacterium. RNAcentral's name for it is "partial 16S ribosomal RNA". It matches the Rfam family "Bacterial small subunit ribosomal RNA", at positions 28 to 507 of the family's 1533-position model. The record is from RNAcentral.